CUCGUUGGUGACAGCGGAGGGAUCAUUACCGAGUUUACAACUCCCAAACCCCUGUGAACAUACCUAUACGUUGCCUCGGCGGAUCAGCCCGCGCCCCGUAAAAAGGGACGGCCCGCCCGAGGACCCCUAAACUCUGUUUUUAGUGGAACUUCUGAGUAAAACAAACAAAUAAAUCAAAACUUUCAACAACGGAUCUCUUGGUUCUGGCAUCGAUGAAGAACGCAGCAAAAUGCGAUAAGUAAUGUGAAUUGCAGAAUUCAGUGAAUCAUCGAAUCUUUGAACGCACAUUGCGCCCGCCAGUAUUCUGGCGGGCAUGCCUGUUCGAGCGUCAUUUCAACCCUCAAGCUCAGCUUGGUGUUGGGACUCGCGGUAACCCGCGUUCCCCAAAUCGAUUGGCGGUCACGUCGAGCUUCCAUAGCGUAGUAAUCAUACACCUCGUUACUGGUAAUCGUCGCGGCCACGCCGUAAAACCCCAACUUCUGAAUGUUGACCUCGGAUCAGGUAGGAAUACCCGCUGAACUUAAGCAUAUAUAAA
Molecule: ribosomal RNA, 535 nt
Filed under: Fusarium sp.
Lineage: Eukaryota; Fungi; Ascomycota; Sordariomycetes; Hypocreales; Nectriaceae
Description: eukaryotic LSU rRNA
Rfam family: 5.8S ribosomal RNA (bases 178-331)
Source: RNAcentral